RNAcentral lists this long non-coding RNA (542 nucleotides) under Homo sapiens (human). RNAcentral's name for it is "HSALNT0291390". The record is from RNAcentral. Lineage: Eukaryota; Metazoa; Chordata; Mammalia; Primates; Hominidae.
AAUCCCCAGAAGCACUGAGUGACGAAGCAUGGUACCAGUCAGACUCUCUGUGUCCAUUCCUCUCUUGCAGCAACUGGGGAUUGUGGGUAAAGAAAGCUUUUCAUGGACCACUGACUCAGGACAAGCAAACCCUUCAUGAUAUAGAAUUCAGAGGCUGGAUCUUUUGGAAACACAUCAGAGAAAGACUCCCCUUGUCACCCACACUGCAGCGAAACUUCAGGACCCUGAAGCUUGGGUUUGUAAUCUCACAACUUAGAAAGGCCCACCCAGACUCUUGGAACCACACACCCAUCAGAGGGAGAACUUAAGGUAAAGCUAAUGAGGUCUAAUCAAUGGUGCUCUAACUACAGAACAGCGAAUCUUAACCUGGGGACCAUGGGUCAUGAAUGGACUGCAGAAAUUCUGUGACCUCCUGGUAAUUUAUACAAAAUUUGUAUGUAUGCAUUAGGUUGAAUAAUACAUUUUGGCCUGGCAUGGUAGUUCAUGCCUGUGAUCUCAGCAUUUUGGGAGGCCAAGCUGGAGGAUUGCUCAAGCCCAGAAGC